CUUCGAAACACUUAUUUACAACGCAGAACAAUUUCACAAAUUGCAAUUUAUUGCCUGGUUUGGACUGUCUGCUGUUGCCAAUUUACCAUCAACACUCUUUAAUUUAUUCAAAUUUUCAAGACCCAAGUUUGUCGACAAGUAUGGCUCCACCGACCCACUGGUACUUAAAUGACAACGUAAUAAAUGAUUAUUUUAAUUUGAUCAAAAAACAGAAUCCGAGCGUUUAUUCCUUUGACACCUAUUUUUAUGAGCGGCUUAAGAAAUCUGGAUACAAUUUUAUAAA
Long non-coding RNA from Metopolophium dirhodum (rose-grain aphid), 283 nucleotides. RefSeq lists it as uncharacterized. The transcript has 3 exons. Lineage: Eukaryota; Metazoa; Arthropoda; Insecta; Hemiptera; Aphididae. The record is from RefSeq and is a predicted model, not a curated record.